Molecule: long non-coding RNA, 791 nt
Organism: Oreochromis aureus
Lineage: Eukaryota; Metazoa; Chordata; Actinopteri; Cichliformes; Cichlidae
Exons: 3
Source: RefSeq, a predicted model, not a curated record
GCUGAAAUGAGUGAGAAGGACGAUGAAGGAAACAUCUGUGCUGUGUCUGCUCUAGAGGGAUUCAGCUGCAGUUGACGCUCGAUCCGGCAGGAGGGGUCGCGAGCGGAUGAUUGGCAGCUCGGCAGAAGGAGACGCGUGGGAAGUUUGAAGGUGGACAUUACAUACGGAUUGAGUGGAUUGAUUGGUUUUUGGACUUUGAACUACGGACUAGGAUCACGGAUUGUGGCAGUUGGCAUAAACUGGUAUGUGACUGGCUGGAAUGGCGUCUCUGGUAGAUGAGGACGAUGAUAUGGAUUUUGGUGACUGGACCCUGGUGGCUGGAGGGGGAAGAUCAGGAAGAGGGAGAAGCAGGAGAGAGGGCGCGGGUUUGGUUGGGUCACAGACGAGUAAAAGGAGUCUGGAAGAGAACAGCUCGGAUGAAGGGUCCAGGGUCGUGAGGAAGAAGACGAGGCCUCAGUCCUGGUGAUGGACGAGUCAUCUCCCUUGUUCCCAGACUCAGCUUUCACUGCAGGAAGUAUGUGAUUUUGAUCGGGAAUAACAACAGGUGAAGGGGCCAUCACCUCAAAGAUGGAGUCCUAUCAAGCAUCGCAGGCACGUGGACCUCUGGAAUGUAUUGAUUGUUUAAAAGAAAUCAAUUACCAAAAGAAGCAAAACAUUUGUGACUUAACUCAAAUUCAAAUACACGUACUGUAUGAAUUUUGAGAGGGCAGUGUGCCUGAAAUCAAACAUGAGAACUUGUUCACUUACUGAACAGCAUAUGUCUGCAAGUAUAAUACUAACCCUAGGAGUAC